UCUCCAGGCGGUCCACUCUGGAGGUCUCCCCAGCAUCUGGCGGGUGUCGCUGGCUGAGGAUGAACAACAAACAGCCUAGAAGAGCCUCUCGAACAUCCUGGGAGCUCAGGCGACGGGCCAACCGACGCAGCAAGGGCAGGAGGUGCUGGCGGGCCAGGCGGGCAGCAGGAAGCAGCAGACGGGAGAGCAGUCCUCGCAGCAGCAGUGGGAGCAGCGGGGCAGGCAUGGCGAGCUCGGCGCUGCGAAGGCAACGGAGGCUCUAACCUUGUGCUUCCUGCUCCCACCUCACCUGCCAAAAGCAUGGGUGGACAGGAGUGCCCCCCCUCUCUUCAGUUUACCAAUUUGUGGGUUGCUUUUCCCUUUCUCUAAGCAAGGUGGCUGGUAGAGGGGGUUUCACCACAGCACGGAUGGGGAGAGAAAAACUGGAGCUAGAACUCACAGCCAGCCCUUCCCUGUCUCCAGGGGCUCUACUGUUCCUGGGACCCCUUCCAUCCCCCUGACAUUCCCCAACUUUUCUUCCUCAGUCCAGCAAUUCUUCCCCAGGCAAUUCUAAUUUUUCUUUUGGGGGGUUCUUGAUCCACCCAGACCUGCAAUCCUUAACACCCCGGCCCCCUACACCCACCGAUCAGUUCAGCUCUCACCAGUCAGGACUGCUGCUCAGAAUCAGUCUCUGGCUGGAUCUUCCUGCAGUGGAGACAGCCUAGCUGGAUGCAACACUGGGUAACCCCACCCAGCUCAGCUUGCCUGGGUAGGGGAAACAAUGGAGAGACAGCUGUGUUCUGGCACCUGGUACAUGGAGGGGAGCAGGCAGCUGGGCUGAUCCCCUUUUCCAGUUUGGAAGGAAAAGGAAGGAGGGAGCAUGUGCAGGAAUUCCCCUUGCUGGGUACAAGCCUCAGAGUUGGAAUUCAAACAGCAUUUGCUAAUUGUGUGGCCUUAAGCACACUGACUCUUCUGGGCUCCAGUCCCCUUAUCUGCUACCUCAAUGGCUGGGAAGAACCGAGAGGAGGAACUGAACAGGACAAUGUAGGACACCCACAUGUCCAAACCUCAGAUGCAGUAAAACAGCCCCCAGGACACAUUUAUUAACACCAGACCUGUUCCAGUGGACAAGACAGGAAACCAGGACCUCGUGGGAGCAGGCCCUCUCCUGGGGGGCAGAGGAGUAAAGACAGUCCAUUUCAUAGCUGGGCACACUUGGAUACAGUCGGGUGACAUUUGUACUCAAAGAUGGAGGAGGGACCUAAUUCAGGUCCCUUUUCUCCACCUACUUUUCCCUCCUUGUGAUUAGAGGAGGAUCCAUAAGGUAGCCAGGUGUAUCUCCUUGGGUUUAUAGACAGGCUUUUUGUUUGUUCUUGUUUUUAAAUACUUCAUUCUCCUAUUUUGAAAAUUGUUAUAAUUCCUGCCUUUCUGGAUUCAGAUGAGAUAAUGGCCUUGACGUAUUAUAAAAACUUCAAGGUCUUGAGACUAUGAUCACAUAUCAGCACCCCACCAGCAGCUGCUGUUAGCAUCAUUGUCAUCUCCAUCACCAUUCAAGACCUUGAAGAAAGAAAACUUACAAGGUCAGAAAGGACUGUCUACUUCUAUGUGGAAGAAGCAGGGAUGAGGAGCAAGAAAGUGCACAUUCAUAGGCAGAGUCUUCUUAUAGUUGCUACCAGAUGAAGUUUCAUGGUCAUGUAUUUAUCCCAGGGCUGUGGGUAGGACACAUUGAAUACGCGUGUAUGCCAGUACAGAGUUCAUGAUCUCACUCAAUUCUCACGACCACGGUGCAGCGAAGCAAAAAUUAUAACCAAUGGAUAACCAUUGAGGAACUAAGAUUCAGGGUAGUUAAGCACCUUUUCCAAAGUCAGACAUUGGGUAAAUAGCCUCAUUUCCCUCUAGAACUGCCCUUUUCCCAGGUUUUCCCAAAUUGUGUCUUUCCAAUUGCUUUGGCCAAAAUCUUGGAAAUUAUCCUGAACUCCUCUUUUCCUAUCACAGUUCUCCAUCCAUAUGAGCAAAUUCUGAUGACUCCACUUUAAAAUAUUCAGAAUCUAGAGCUGGAGGUGUAGUUCAGUGGUGGAAUGCUUACCUAUCAUGCUUGAGAUCCUGGGUUCGAUCCCUAGUAAGCGCACGUGUGCACACAUGCGCGCACGCACAAACACACACACACACACACUUUUGAGGCCAGAAAACUAAAUAUUUGUCAUAUGACUUUGCAAUAUCUAUAGAUUUAGGUGAUUUUACCUGGAGGCUCCCCAAACACACUGAGGUUCCUGGGCCUGAUACAAUUGUAGAAAGAAACCAUGUAUUUAAGGCACCAGAGUAGUUUAGCUCCUCACACUCAAGGGCUUUAAUUGGCUUCUUUUUUUUUUAAAUCU
This 2354-nucleotide long non-coding RNA is filed under the name Marmota monax (woodchuck). The record is from RNAcentral. Lineage: Eukaryota; Metazoa; Chordata; Mammalia; Rodentia; Sciuridae.